CCCUUGUAUUAGUAAGGUGAUAUUAAUUAAUAUAUACAUUGAAAUUUAAUGAUUUUGGCGGUUGAUUAUUAAUUGGAGGAGCUUGUAUUUUGGUAGAAUUAGCUCUUUAUAUUUAAAUAAUUUAAAAUUUAUUCAUCUCCGUUAUUAAAUAAUAAAUUUAAAUAUAUAUAUAUAUGUAUACUUUGUAGUAUUUCAGGUCAAGAUGUAGUUUUAAUUGUAAAAUAUUAGCUACAUUAAUAUAAUUAAUUGAAUUAUUUUAAUUGAAGGAUUUCUGAUAGGAAAUUGAAUUUAAUUGUAAUUAUAAUUAAAGUUUUAUAAUGAAUAGGAAUGGUUAAUGUACAUAUUGCCCGUCACUUCUAUUAUAAGGA
RNAcentral lists this ribosomal RNA (368 nucleotides) under Multumbo terrenus. RNAcentral describes it as "partial small subunit ribosomal RNA". The record is from RNAcentral. Lineage: Eukaryota; Metazoa; Arthropoda; Arachnida; Opiliones; Gonyleptidae.